Molecule: long non-coding RNA, 737 nt
Filed under: Homo sapiens (human)
Lineage: Eukaryota; Metazoa; Chordata; Mammalia; Primates; Hominidae
Description: HSALNT0387911
Source: RNAcentral
UCCAGGCUGAAGCGAUCCUCCCACCUCAACCUCCCACGUGGCUGAGACUACAGGUGCUUGCCACUAUGCCCAACUAACAUUUGGAAUUUUCGUAUACGUGGAUUCUAGAGGGGUGACAGCGAAACGUGACCUCACAGUGACUCAAGCUACCACUUACUGUUGAUUGUGACGAAAUGCCAGCUGAGGCACAUGCCUUGGGAGCUAAGUGGUUGCUGCCCUUGACCACUGUGAAGACUGGUGUGGGAAGGGUCGCUUUGGAUGCACUUGAGCAGGGGUCCCCAACCCCUGAGCCAUGGAGCCGCAAGGAGCCACACAGCAGGAGGUGGGACCAUCCAGUUGCAGGAAAACAAGCUUAACACGCCCACUGAUUCUACAUUAUGCUCCUACCUCCCGGCAGCCUCUCCAGGCCCAGAACUUUCUCCAGUCAGCCUCUACAGACCAAGCUCAUGACUCUCAAUGGCCUAUUUAGGCCCAUACCCUACGUCACGGCAGCCUCCGCAGAUGAGGCUACUGCCUCACAACAGCCUCCACAGGCACAGCUCCAUCGUUACAAUGGCCUCUUUAGACCCAGCUCCUGCCUCCCAGCCUUCUCUCCAGGCCCUGAACUUUCUCAAGUCAACCUCACCAGGCCCAGCUCAUGCUUCUUUGCAGCCUCUCCAGGCCCAGCUCCUGCAUCUUGGUGGCCCCUCCAGGCCCAGCCUCUGCCUCCCGUCAGCCUCUACAGUCCGAACGUCUGC